RNAcentral lists this ribosomal RNA (250 nucleotides) under uncultured bacterium. RNAcentral's name for it is "partial 16S ribosomal RNA". It matches the Rfam family "Bacterial small subunit ribosomal RNA", at positions 57 to 305 of the family's 1533-position model. The record is from RNAcentral.
GCAAGUCGAGCGGAAACGAUGGAAGCUUGCUUCCAGGCGUCGAGCGGCGGACGGGUGAGUAACGCGUAGGAAUCUGCCCAGUAGAGGGGGAUAGCCCGAGGAAACUCGGAUUAAUACCGCAUACGCCCUACGGGGGAAAGCAGGGGAUCUUCGGACCUUGCGCUAUUGGAUGAGCCUGCGUUGGAUUAGCUAGUUGGUGGGGUAAAGGCCCACCAAGGCGACGAUCCAUAGCUGGUCUGAGAGGAUGAUC